GGUGCUGAGGGAGUGCACUCCCCCACCUGCUUAGACAUACCCUAUAUAAACAGCCAGCCCCAUCGGGAUAAACCCAGAUCCCACGGCGACUGAUUUUGGUGGUCAUUACAGACUUUGGCUGCAGGAGGAUGUCAGCACCUCCUUUAAAGGUGUCUCAACAUUCUUCCUUAACAGGAAGGCUACAGUUCUAACCAUUGCACUAUCCGAUUUUCUGUGAGCAUCACAGAUAGCACAGGGCCUUCAUCGCAAUUUCAGGAGGGAAGUGCUUAACCGCACCCCAACCUACCCAUCCCGGCUUCGUGCGGCGGUGCUGGCCCCCCCCUGGCCCAGCCGGUUACGGGUGCUCGCCCCCACCCCUGUUUGGCUUUCAUCUGCCAUCCCCGGCUUUGUUGUUGGGGGUCU
Rana temporaria (common frog) is the source of this 402-nucleotide long non-coding RNA. RefSeq lists it as uncharacterized. Lineage: Eukaryota; Metazoa; Chordata; Amphibia; Anura; Ranidae. The transcript is spliced from 3 exons. The record is from RefSeq and is a predicted model, not a curated record.